UACAGAGGGGGCAAGCGUUGUUCGGAAUUACUGGGCGUAAAGGGCGCGUAGGCGGCCCGCUAAGUCGAACGUGAAAUCCCCGGGCUCAACCCGGGAACUGCGUCCGAUACUGGCGGGCUUGAAUCCGGGAGAGGGAUGCGGAAUUCCAGGUGUAGCGGUGAAAUGCGUAGAUAUCAGGAGGAACACCGAUGGCGAAGGCAGGUCUCUGGGCCGAUACUGACGCUGAGGAGCGAAAGCGUGGGGAGCGAACAGG
RNAcentral lists this ribosomal RNA (253 nucleotides) under uncultured bacterium. RNAcentral describes it as "partial 16S ribosomal RNA". It matches the Rfam family "Bacterial small subunit ribosomal RNA", at positions 524 to 776 of the family's 1533-position model. The record is from RNAcentral.